RNAcentral lists this ribosomal RNA (468 nucleotides) under uncultured bacterium. RNAcentral's name for it is "partial 16S ribosomal RNA". It matches the Rfam family "Bacterial small subunit ribosomal RNA", at positions 28 to 507 of the family's 1533-position model. The record is from RNAcentral.
GACGAACGCUGGCGGGGUGCGUAACACAUGCAAGUCGAACGGAAAGGCCCUGCUUUUGUGGGGUGCUCGAGUGGCGAACGGGUGAGUAACACGUGAGUAACCUGCCCUUGACUUUGGGAUAACUUCAGGAAACUGGGGCUAAUACCGGAUAGGAGCUCCUGCUGCAUGGUGGGGGUUGGAAAGUUUCGGCGGUUGGGGAUGGACUCGCGGCUUAUCAGCUUGUUGGUGGGGUAGUGGCUUACCAAGGCUUUGACGGGUAGCCGGCCUGAGAGGGUGACCGGCCACAUUGGGACUGAGAUACGGCCCAGACUCCUACGGGAGGCAGCAGUGGGGAAUAUUGCACAAUGGGCGGAAGCCUGAUGCAGCAACGCCGCGUGCGGGAUGACGGCCUUCGGGUUGUAAACCGCUUUCGCCUGUGACGAAGCGUGAGUGACGGUAAUGGGUAAAGAAGCACCGGCUAACUACGUG